Symphalangus syndactylus (siamang) is the source of this 2997-nucleotide long non-coding RNA. RefSeq lists it as uncharacterized. NCBI's taxonomy places the organism in Eukaryota, Metazoa, Chordata, Mammalia, Primates, Hylobatidae. The record is from RefSeq and is a predicted model, not a curated record.
AAAGAAAAUUGGUCCAAAGAAAGUGCAAAAUUAUCAGAGGGCAGUCACUACAAUUCUUUUUUCUUCUGUUUUCACAUCUGUUCAAUCAAUAUCAGCUCCUGGCCUCAAGGCAGUGUGACCUAGCAGCAAGAGCCCUAGGAAGCUGGGGAUCAGAGGACAGUGUUGCAUGCUGCCUUUGCCUUUAACCAGGGGCACCGUCUCACAGCAAACCUUUAACUUCUCUGGGUCAGGGAGCUCCUUUGUCAACAAAACAGGGUCCUGCCUACCCAUCUGACGACAUGUCUGCUCAUCACCCAUGUGCAUCCUGUCACAGUGGGACCUGCGUGUGUUCCCUGCUCAUUGUUACUUCCAUGGUUUUGCUGAUUCUAUGCGAUCCUUCCAGGCCACUCCAAGUUCCACCUCUUCCAUGAAGCCCUCCUUGAUUGCUGGGCCCGGGUUGAACUUCUUAUUAGUAACACCCAGGAACUUUCCAUAAUAGAAAUUAAAAGAAGAAAUGAGGUAGGACAACUGGGAUAAGCAGAAGACAAGAGUGGACUCACAGCCUCUCCUCCACAGAUUCUGGAGAGCCAGGGCCCUGCAUGUUUUCUUCGGGAAGGCUGUGCAGUCUGCUCUGAGGAGACAGAUCAACCUAGCCCUUCUCCAGGAUGAACUCCGAAAACCACAGGUAUUCACGUUCAGAGGAUGACGCAUCUCAGAAUCAGAUCUAUUGAACUGCAUGACUUCCACUCAGCCCUGAUGUUCGUGGAUGCUGACAUCAUUUUUACAAGCAUUUGCUGCCUGGACAUAGAGACAAUCAUUGACAUCUACAUGGCAUAGCCCAUUUCUGUUCCAGAAAGAGCCAAAGCUAAACAGCACUGGCUACAAGACAAGCAACAUCGAAACAAUUGCAGCUCAUCUGCUGCCGGACGCUGACUAGUUGACUCCCUGUUCCACCAGCCAGAACUAAAGCCUUGACUGGACAAGAGGCUGAUUUCAGUCACUUUCUCCUUCAUGUGUCUUCAUGUCUUUGCUUCACCUUUUGAUGUGUGGCCUUUAGUGAGCCAGUGGCUCUGAUUUAUGUGGUCAGAUUCUGAGCCGGCAGACACAAAGGUGUGGCAGGACUGGAGAUUCUGCAUAGGUCUGUGUGUGAUGGGCUUUAUGAAUGCAUCUAUUUAAUGUACUCCAAGCCAAUUCUUAAUGAAGCAUGACACAGCCAAAUAUGAAAGGAGCUCAUUAUUGAUACUUUUUAUGGACCGAAUUGCGUUCUCCUGAAAAGGUAGACAUCAAUGCAGUAGAAUUGAGAGUUCAGAAAUAAACCGAUAAAUCUAUAGUCAAAAAUUUUUUGACAACUGUCACAAGACCAUUCAAUGAGGGCAAGAAGAGUCUUUCCAAAAAAUGAUAUAGAACAACUGGAUAGCCAAUACAGAAGAAUGGAAUUGGACCUGUACCUCACACCAUGUGCAAAAAUUAACUCAAAAUGGAUUAAUGACCCAAAUUUAAGAGCUAAAACCAUAGAAAUACUAAAAGAAAACAUACAGAGAGCAGAUGGUUGAUCUGGUGCCAAUUUGCCCAAUGUGGUAGCUACGUAGCAAUAAAAUUCCAAGACUGGCACAAGGAGGGCCUGGUUGCAGGUGAGUGCUGGCCUGAGAAAACAGAAAAAAAGAAAAUCUGCAAGCUGCAGCAAUUGAUUAGAUGUGAAGAUGGGGAGAAUGAAUCCAGAUGCCCUUCCUUGAGCUGCAGGAUUUCAGUGAAACUUGUGGGGCUACAGGCACUUUCAAAGGCUUGACACCAGACCAAUGGCCUUCUUAGAACACUGUCAUCAUUGAUUCUGUAUCUACAGAAGUCAUGUAACUGUGGCUGCCUCUUUUCAAUGGAAACAGAGCGAAAUGAAACGUGGUCAGCUAAAUCGUGCUGACCUUAAAAACACUACAUCCUCUUAGGCAAUCACUUUGGCGUAUAAACCACAUGUACAAUAUUCCUGCUACUUCAAACACGACUUUUUUAAUGAGCCAAAAAGAAUCUAGGUUCGUAAAUAAACCGAAUUCAUUGCCAUAAUGUUUCUACUCUAUAAUGAAAAUAGCUACUCAUCAAUGGAGCAUUUAUGCUUGUUUUCAUCAUUAAAGCAUGUCGUUUCAUUAAACCACUCUGUAGCAGACCACCACUGGAUGCUUCACACUUGAUAUUGAUUAUUUAACUAAUCACGUUUACUAAACUGGUCUAUCUUUCCCCGCUUCUUCUGGUUGGAUUUCAUGCUGUCUGGGAGGACACAAAACCCCCUUGCACAUUUGUUUUUAAUGAAGGAGAAGUUAAGGAAGAUCAUUGUGUGAGGGUAGAGACAAAUGACAAUGGCAAAACUCAAAGAGAAUAGAAGGAAGGUCACCAGCGAGAUUACCCGUCGGUCUGCACAAGCAUGACAACAAACCAUCAGCGAUUAGCGUUAGAACAAAAACAGCAUCCUAUGUAAACGACAAGGCCACGCAAACACACUAAGUUGGCCCUCCAGGGAUCCGGAUGGGCAGAGAACACUUAGAUAAUCCUGUCAGAGGGAGUUGUUGGAAUUAAAGAACCAGCUUCUCUUUGGUUCCAGGAACACUUGCUGUCGAAGGCCAAGCUGGGAAACUGAUGAAUAAAAGAGAUACCUACCAGCAUAUAAACAAACAAGACUGAAUUAUUUUUGUGAGUCAUUGUGUGUUCACGUUUUAAUGAUUUGAUAAAAGAAUUUCAAAACUAAUUAUGCCUAGCUGUUAAGAAGCUAAUUUUAUAUUUUAAACCUCUGCCAAUUUACCAGUAACUAAGAAGGCAAGCACCAAGACACAUACAUAAUCAUGUAGUUUUAUAUCAUCAUGGUAUGGUAGUAAGUUACAUCCAGUAUAUAUUAUGGUACAUAUGAAUUUAUGUAUAAAUACAUUCUCAGAGUCUUUUACUACUUAUUAUUUAUAAACUGUAAUUGUGAAUUGAUCCUUCUUUUGUUUAUUAAUAUUAUCAUCAAUUAAAGUUUAUUAAGCCAAAUUUUUCCAA